AUGUCCCAUGCACGUGGAUCCAAUGGGGUGCCCGAGUCGCCUGGGCCAGCGGCCUCACUGUCGCCUGGGCCGGUCGAACCUGCGGAGCUGUCGGCCGGGCCGGCUGGACCUGCGGGUCUAUCCCCUGGGCCGGGGGUCUCGCAGGUCAUCGAGUCAUCGUCGCCUGGUCCGUCAACGCCGGUCACGCCCGGUCUGUCUUCGCCGACCCUGACCGUGCCACCGGAUGCGCUUGUUGACUCGCUCGCCGGCGCGUCCUCCUCGCCACUGAUGGGCAGUGGCUCCUCUGGUGGUUGCGAUGCCUCCAUUCUGCUGGACCCGACGACCAGCAAGCCAGAGACUGAGAAAACAACAAUCCCCCUACGCGGAUACGAUGCCGUGAACAAGAUCAAGGACGCCGUGGAGGCCGUCUGCCCGGGUGUUGUCUCCUGUGCCGACAUCCUGGCCUUUGCGGCACGUGACUCCACCUGUGCCUCAGGCGGGUUCACCUUCCACAUGCCAUCCGGGCGCCUGGACGACUUCCAGUCAAUCGCCGACGAGGUCUUCCAGGGCAUCCCAUCCCCGCGUUUCAGCUCCAAGAACUUCUUGAUAGCUUCACCGCCAAGGGCCUCAACGCUUCCUCAAUCUUAA
Molecule: ribosomal RNA, 627 nt
Filed under: Triticum aestivum (bread wheat)
Lineage: Eukaryota; Viridiplantae; Streptophyta; Magnoliopsida; Poales; Poaceae
Description: partial small subunit ribosomal RNA
Source: RNAcentral